GCCCAAGCAGCCGAGCCGAGCAGAGCCGAGUGCCCAAGCGCCGCGGGGCGAAGCGGCCCUCCCCACCCAGCGGCCGCGCCGCCGCCCUGCCCCGGGCGGAGUAAACAAGAGACGCGCAAGAUUUGACCUGGCGCGACCCGGAUUUCUGGCCGGGGUUCCCCCUGAGCAGAAAACUUCUGAAGUCAAAACCAAAACUGGCAUUGGUAAACUGUGCACUCAGCCCUAAGGAGAUCUAUGGAAAGUGAGGCUGGCUGGAGCAUAGCUGACCCCAUCUAGGCACCCAUAUGGAGCAUCACAACAAGAAAAGUCGCUUCCGGCUGCCAUCUCAAGCUUGAUGGCAAGAGUGCAGCGUUGUUCAUGGAGCAUGAAAGCAGCUUGCAGAGUCCUGCUGACUGGUAUGAACCCACGAGGAAAUAAAGUUUUUCAUUCAUGUG
Eubalaena glacialis (North Atlantic right whale) is the source of this 434-nucleotide long non-coding RNA. RefSeq lists it as uncharacterized. The transcript is spliced from 3 exons. The record is from RefSeq and is a predicted model, not a curated record. Lineage: Eukaryota; Metazoa; Chordata; Mammalia; Artiodactyla; Balaenidae.